Molecule: non-coding RNA, 1235 nt
Organism: Phascolarctos cinereus (koala)
Lineage: Eukaryota; Metazoa; Chordata; Mammalia; Diprotodontia; Phascolarctidae
Source: RefSeq, a predicted model, not a curated record
UUGCCGCGGAUCAGAAUGAAACUGGCUGGAAGAUACAGGGCUUUUGGCUUUGGAAGCAAAUGCUGUCUGCUUAUUUGCUGUGACCUUUCCCAAGUCCAUCCAGAGGCCUGGGCCUCUGUUUUCUCAGCUGUAACAUGAAGGCCUCCUGGCCUGGUAGAAAGCGCUCUGGAUGCAGUGUCGGAUGCACCUGAGUUCAAAUCCUGCCUUUGCCACUCCCCGUGUGAGCAAGUCCCUUCCUCACUCCCGGCAUCAGUUUUUUCACUUGUAAAGUGCCGGAGCUGGAAUCUGAGGUCCCUGUGUGGUCUUAUCCAGUGCGUGGGAUCCCGUUACUUUGACUCAUUUUCCUUCUCCAGAUCAUUCGGUCUCUCCUUAGUUUUAAACUUCACACUGACGCUCCAGGCAUACCGAUCUCGUUAGGCUAUGAGCAAACAAGAAAGUCCUUCCCCCCGCCCCCCCGCCUUAAAAUUAAACUGUGCCCCCCAAAAAAAAUCCGACUGGGAGGAAAAACAACAACUUUCUUGUUUGCUCAGAGCUUUCACACCAUAUUAAGCAGUGAGGUGGAAGGGUCUGAUUAAAGAAGCAAGUGGUAACCGAGCUAAUUAAUUAUGUUUGAGCGGCUGCUCCAGUUCGUAGGGGGAGCCUGAUGACCCACGCCACACCUGCACGCUUUUACAAGCAGGAACAGCACAGGACAGGAGGCCUUACCCUUGGACGCCAGCCCAGAGGUUGAGCGCCUCCAGAAAAUCAGACAACGGCGUGCACUUUUUUCUCUUGCUCACCGACGGGUGCCUUGCAGGCCUUUCGGAUACCCUGGGAGGGGGCUGGAUUGAAUGAGGAGAGGCACACCAUUCCUGGACUGAUCUGGAGGAAAGGAGCUCUUUGGCCUUGGGGAGACGCAGCUCCGUGCAAGGAAGUCACCAGUUGCUACCAAAAUACCAAGGAAGAAUAAAAAGUUUCCUUGCUGGGCAAAGAGUCUUCCUGAACUUUUCUUAACCUAAUCACAUCUUGCCUGGUGGAGAAAAGGAUCUGAAACUCUUCCAGUACAUGAGACCGAAGAAUCGGAGGACUAACAUCGCUUACAAAGAAAAGAUGGAUUUCUGGCAUUCCUCUGUCUGGUUUCCUGAAGCUAUGCAGCUCAACUUUUGUUAAUUGCACAUCCUGUUCUUUGAUCAGCUCUUCCUUUCGUUUCAUCGUUUUGAUGAAGGCAUUUAAGGCUAUAAAAUGUCACCUGAGCU